This 510-nucleotide ribosomal RNA is filed under the name uncultured bacterium. RNAcentral describes it as "bacterial SSU rRNA". It matches the Rfam family "Bacterial small subunit ribosomal RNA", at positions 19 to 518 of the family's 1533-position model. The record is from RNAcentral.
CUGGCUCAGGAUGAACGCUAGCUACAGGCUUAACACAUGCAAGUCGAGGGGCAGCAUGGAGUUGCUUGCAAACUCUGAUGGCGACCGGCGCACGGGUGAGUAACGCGUAUCCAACCUUCCCUAUAGUAGAGGAUAGCCCGGCGAAAGUCGGAUUAAUACUCUAUGUUUUCCGUUGCAGACAUCUAAGAUGGAACAAAGGCUUGCCGCUAUAGGAUGGGGAUGCGUCUGAUUAGGUAGUCGGCGGGGUAACGGCCCACCGAGCCAUCGAUCAGUAGGGGUUCUGAGAGGAAGGUCCCCCCACAUUGGAACUGAGACACGGUCCAAACUCCUACGGGAGGCAGCAGUGAGGAAUAUUGGUCAAUGGGCGAGAGCCUGAACCAGCCAAGUAGCGUGCAGGAUGACGGCCCUAUGGGUUGUAAACUGCUUUUAUGCGGGGAUAAAGUUCACUACGUGUAGUGUUUUGUAGGUACCGCAUGAAUAAGGACCGGCUAAUUCCGUGCCAGCCGCGGC